Molecule: microRNA precursor, 56 nt
Filed under: Anolis carolinensis (green anole)
Lineage: Eukaryota; Metazoa; Chordata; Lepidosauria; Squamata; Anolidae
Description: Aca-Mir-194-P2_pre stem-loop
Rfam family: mir-194 microRNA precursor family
About the family: The hairpin precursors (represented here) are predicted based on base pairing and cross-species conservation -- their extents are not known.
Source: RNAcentral
UGUAACAGCAACUCCAUGUGGAAUAAGUAGAUUUCCAGUGGAGGUGCUGUUACUUU